This is a long non-coding RNA of Dromaius novaehollandiae (emu), 2883 nucleotides long. RefSeq lists it as uncharacterized. Lineage: Eukaryota; Metazoa; Chordata; Aves; Casuariiformes; Dromaiidae. The transcript has 2 exons. The record is from RefSeq and is a predicted model, not a curated record.
CCAAUGAAGACUUUCUGCACAGAGGCAAUGUCAAGAGGAGCAGCACAGAGCACACCCAGGAUGUUCAGCCUGCAAGGUGGGAGACGUGGCUUGCACCACCUCAGCUAGGAAAGUCUUUUAUUUUCCAAGCGAACGCCCUAACAACUCAUCUACAUUACAAGUGAGAAAUCGCCAUCGCAACUUUCUUGUUGUUGUGCUCCACUGGCUACCUCUGAAACGCAAGUGGAAGGGAAGGUUUGGUGUGCCCAAGACUGCCUGAAGGCUCAAGACACACAGGGACCUAAGAUGAGACCCUGGGAGCUGCAGGCAUGUACCAAGGCACAACGCGAGGUGCCUAGGGAAAUAUUACCGGAACCGCUGACAUGUCUAUGGUGUUUCAGCAAAUACAGGGUGAACUAUCAGCUGAGUGGGGAUUCAUGUAAGAAUUUUCAUGAUGGGUCAAACCAAAUGCCCAUGUCAGCCCUCCCUCUGGCAACAAGCAGUAGAAAAAAGAGCUACCAGAUCAUAUGCUGAGACUUGGGAGCCCUUCUGGCUGCUUAAUAAUUCCCCCAGUUCUAAAAUACUUAUUUACUGCCAUACUUGGGAUAAGCUAUGUUUUGACAAUACCUAGUGCCUCACAUCUUGCAUGCAUUUAAGCCCCUCAAUCCCACCUUUCCUGUUAGAGCCAACCAAGCACAUAUUUUUAGAGAAGAGAUGGUGAUCAGGCCCAUUAAAAAUGCAAAGGCAUCCAGGAUAGCCCUGAGCAGGGCAGUUCUCUAGAAAUGUAAAUGUUUCAGGCCCAAAUCUUGCUUCUGAUCAUAUCUCGUACCUUCCCAAUAAAUAUUUCCACAACCAGAUUAGGGAGGAUGCCACUUUCUCCUCUUGAAACUGUUCCACUUUACAUCUAACAGCAUUUUCUGGACUAAAGGGAGGGACAACAGUAUUGUUAACACACUCUGCUAGGAAGCAGACCUGAAUAAAGUUGCUAUUUUAGUGAAUAUUUAAUAAAAAUAACUACUGUCUGGAGCAGGCUCUGAAAGUAAGGUCUCUACAUCCCAGAGCAGUGUGUUAACAAUCUUCUCACUUGGUGGAUAAUUAAAUAUUAUAUGAUACAAAGGAGUACACAUACAAAAAGCAAUGAAAGCACCCCUAUAUCUCAGGGAUAUUUGAUAUCUUGAUAUUUAGAGCUUUCACCCAGAAAACCUAAGAUUAAAAUCUUUGGUGUGAAUGGGCACUGCACCUGGCUCUCACUUCCUGGAUGCUCUAGCACCUAGGCAUUUGUGUAGCUCCUCGGUGCUGCUGCUGUGCGUGUUGUGAUUUAUUAGCUACCGUGCCUCCGGACAGCGCUCCAAGUUGGGAAUCCAGCGUGAAGAAAAGCGGCGCAGAGCCUGAUGCCUGCUCAGCAGAGGAGACCCCUCUCUCUUCCCAGCACACCGACGAGGUGCCGCAGGAGCGCUCUGUUCCCCAUGAUACCUGCUGUGGCUCCUGUACACAACCACCCGCCUCUUCCCAUCCACUCGCUAGAAAGCCGAGAGCCUGAACUCACAGCUUGAGUUGGUGCGUACAGGGAUUAACAACUAGCAACCCGCACCGAAGUUACAGGGAGCUGUCGAGGCGCCGCUGGAACCCAGCAAUGAAGUCCUGGCCUCGCUAGGCUGCUGGCACUGUUCCUAUCGAUGCCAGCCUGGCCACGGUGCCCUCCCUCCACCCACCUCCGCUCUGUGAUAACCAGCAUCUUUGAAGAUCAGUGAUGGAGUAACGCCACAACAGCGAUGACUCUGCAUCCCUUUUGAAACUAAGGGUAGUACCGGUUUGAAAAAGGAGAGCUUUAGCGUUGUGAGCACAGGCCUGAGAUGGGAGACUACAGUGGCAACACCAGCCCUCGGUCCAUGUACAACCUGGUGCCAUCUAAAGCCUCACCGUGCAGCUGAUCUCUGUGUCCCUGUUUGCAAAGAGGUCACUCCGCUCGCAAAGCAAGACAGGGAAGGUGAAUUGCACUGAAAGUGAAAAGCUGUUUUUCUAGAAGAGUAAAGCAGCAUUUCCUAAGCAGCUUUAUCUUCCCAACAGAAUUAUUCACACCUAUUUCCUCAUUACACUGGUGCCACACCGGCACGACUGCACUGCUUCCUGUUCCGCAAGUACGCUCAAGCCCUUUCUGUGUCCUCAGGUUGGCAAAAGUUGGGAAGAAGACAAACCCUACUAGAGAAGCAUACAAUCUAUGCAUUAUUUUAUAGUUUUAAAUUAGAACGUUCGUAGAAUAAAACAAAAAAUACUUAGAAAAAUAAAUCCAGAAUAACUUUAAAAAAAUCUUCUUCUUUUCACUGAUACAUUCUUAUUUUACAUAAAGUAAACACAAUGUUGCUGGCUGGAUUUGCUACUCUUCAGACUUUCUACUUGCUUAUCUACUUUUGUUGCAGCUUUGAUUUUAAGAAUUUUGGAACUAUGUUUUAAGAUCUUGAAAGAUACUGUGAUUAAAAACACUUACGCUGUUCCUUACCUUAUAUUUACAACAAUUUUGGAAUUUAAGUAUUUGAUUUAAAUGGUUAAUCAGGGUUUCCCUUACCUCGACACACUGUUCCCUUUGUGCGCACUGUGACAUUCCACACAGAGUUCAAAAGCUGCAGGAUGGCUUUUUUCUUUCCUUCAUGUUAAUUUGCAGAUCAUAUUUAAAAUUAGCUUGUUUCUUCCACUCUAGCCAUAACUCAGCAGCAUUAAUUUGCUUUGAUCUGACAUUUUGCAUAUAAGCUUCAUAAAAGCUAUUUAAAUAGGAAACAGUCAGGUAUUUUGUAGACCUUCUCUGACCUUCUCCUGUAUUCCUGUACUACCAAGAAUCUUUUUUGCACUUUUUUUGGUGGGAAAGGAGAAUCUCGACUUAGGAUGCAAGGAUAUAAACUUUUGCUAUAU